CGCGCACACGUACUGGAUGUUACAGAUCCCAGAAAAGAAUAAAAAGACAGCAAGAGAAAAAGAAAGCCUUACUCCUGCCUCGUUUGCCAUUUCCCUCCACCUCUCUUUUCUUCUUCUCCUCCUCGUCAAGGAGAGAGAAGAAGAAGAGUCGUCAGUGUACAGAUUGUUCUGUAGAUACAUGGACGAAGCACGAAGCCGUCUCUUUUGUUGUAUAAUCUAGGGUUUUCAGUUUUUCACCAUUCAAUUUUUACUUCUCCUGUUCUUGUUCCCGUCCGGUUUAAUGCACAUUGUCUCUAUACGGACGGCUUCAUUCAAGAUUGAUUCGUAUUUCACGGUUUCUCGUUGAAGUUCCGGUCUGAAGGUUUACGGGGCAGAGGAUUUUCGCACAGACUGAGUUCGGUGUCUCUCAGUUAAUUUAUAGGCACGUAGUUUAUUGUCUCAAUGGUAUGUUCACUUGAAAGUGGGAGGAUGGCGGUCAUGGCUAGACUUCUUGAAGCUGGAGGUUUCUCAAAGAACAUAUCAGAGGAGGUUGGACGUCAGAAACUAGCAGCUCAAUAUAUUUAUAAAGAAUUAUGUCUGGCAGAUGAAGCAAAUUUGCUUGAUGAAGAAGAUAUGCAUGUCUUUGGUUUGAAACCUAUGGCUGACCCUUUGAAGUUGGCUGUGAAAUGAACUGGUUGGAAAUGAUUUCCUGCUAAAAGUCCUGGUGUGAACAUGGUGAUUGGUUAUCAACGUGAUCUACUUAUUGUGAAUAUUUGACUUGCUUAAAGGCCACGACUGGUAUACCAAGGAGGGUAAUCUAAGGAAGUUUCACCCUACCUACAAUGGUUUUUACAAUAGCUUGAGCAGAGGAUUCCACUACUCUACCCAGGCAUGGAAAUCUAAUUCUUCUUUGACAGGGAGAAUAAACAUUACUCAAGCUGAGUGGUGUAUGCUGCAAUGCCUGUAAAAGGCCUGUUAAAGCCAGUCAGUAUGCAGCUCAUGCAGAACUUUGUAGAUCAUUAGAUACUGAAGAAGAAGCCAUUCUGGACAAUGAUGGCAGUACUGGGCACAGGAAGCCUCCAAGAAAGGAGAGAAAAAAGUUACUAUCUUCUUAUAAUACUACGCUAGUUGGUGAUCAAGAACAAUCCAGAUCAAUAAUUGGAGAUGAUACCACUUUCUCAGAAUCUCAAGUGGAUGGGCAUGUUGAAAAUGGUUCCUUCUCCAUCAAUGCAAAAAGUAUCUAAAUUAACGUGUUACUUUUUUCUUUUCUGAUCUCAUGCCUUUUUCCAUGUGGAGUUUCAGUGGUAGUCCACUCCUGUUUUAUUCUUCUGGCUGUUAAUUUUUGUUUUUUCUUUAUCAACAAUGGAUACUUCUAAGUAUGUUGGAGAAUAAUCUUUUAUAGGAUGUAAAUUUGCCUCAUCUAAGAUUGUUUAAGAUAGUUAUCAAUUUUUGCAGUGUGCUAUAGAACAGAAGAGAAAUGGCAAACACUUGGGUCAUGUUCAGACCCUGAAAAUAUUUUCCUUUUUUAUUCUGUUUUCUGAACUAUUUUUAAUUGUUAAACAAUACAAAAUGUGUUUAACUUCAAAAAACUGAAAAGACUUUUUUAGAAGUAAAGAUAUUGUCACUUAAGUGGGAAAUAGAGAAAGUUGUUGUCAUUUUUUUCAACUUGACCUGUUUGAAAAUCUUACUCUUCUAUUUUUUUGAAAGAAAAUUUUCGAAGAAUUGAACAUGAUUUUUUAUGGGUUUCUUGUUCCCUUGGUAAAUUUCCGGGUAAAUUCACAACUUUGCAUGAUUGCUUUUCCUCUUGACUUUAUUCUUUCCUCCAAAAGUCCCAACUGGCUCUGAAGUUUUGUUGUAGAUGGGAACAUUAAGAUUGUCUUAAUUAAAUUGUUAAUAAUCAUAUGAGCUUUAUGGAUUGGUCCUAUCUGGAUGGGAAUGGUUUUAAAUAUCUUAAAUUAUGAAGUAACUAGGAAUGUUAACUAUAUUUUGUCUUGGCGUGUAAUAUAGAGCAUAUUGGCAUUUUCCCCCAUUUAAGUGAGGAACUGAAAUAGGUUGGUGUUAGGAAGUAUAUAUUAUGUAGGAAAGUGUAUUUUUGUAUAAUCUGGGUAAAGAGUAUACUAGUGAAAUACUCAUACAUGCAACUGAUUGUAUAUUUCCUUUUAUUACCCUAAGAAUAUGUAUAUAUAGGACCCUCUAAUUCAAUAAUAAGAGAAGACAUUCUGUUCUUCCACAAGGCAUUAGAACUGUAGGAAAAAAUCGUAGCACUUUUUAUGAAUCCUAAUCAAAGACUUUGAUAAAUAGGGUAGAUAGAAGUAGAAUGGUAGAAAGUAUUGGCGUGUAACUUGGUAGGGGUGUUUGAAACUCAAGGACCUAGGAAGGUAUUUUGUAACAAGGUAAGUUUGCAGUUAGAGCAACUUCCCUUCAAAACAAUUUUGAAACUUGAGUUGUGAACAUAAGGGAUUGGACAACUUCCAAAAGAUGUCUAUUAUUCUUUUUGGCUAUAUUAUUUUGUUGAGGGUAUCAACACAUGACUUUGAUGAAUAAUGUCCUCUUUUUCAAAAUACGUACUCAAUUCUUUCUAAAGUUUUCUUUUGUUUUGUCUAUCUUUGGCAUUUGUAUUUUUGUUCAGAAUUGAGUUUGGACCAUAUUGUUGAAUUUUUUGAAUAUAUGACCAACUUUUGGUUUUUUUUUCAUAAGAAAUGACCAUGUAAUUUGUACAUGAUCAUCUACAAAGGAUAUAAAUCAUAUGGUAUUAGUAAUAUUGUUGUUUGUAGAUGGUCUCUUGACAUCACUAUGUAUUAUGAGAUAUAUAGUAUGAGUAUAUUUUGAUAAUUGACAUACUUUAUAAUGAUAGUUUUUCGUAUUUUUAUUUUUGAAUAAAGAGGAGAACAAUUUUUGAAGAUACACAAAGUUUGAGUGUGCUGAUCAAUAAUGCUAUAAUAUGAUUGUAUUAAAAUUGUCAAAGUAAGUUGAAAUAUCUUGAGACUCAAUAUAAUACUGUAUUAGGUGAUUUUCUCCUGAAAAAUUCAUUAUUCUUAAAGAGAAAGAGUCCGAAAUAUAACUUAGCAUUGCCAAUUGUCCUCCUUGAAUCCAAAUCCUAAGUUUUAACAACAUUUAGCAAUACAUUUAUGAUCUUGAGUAAAUUUGCUUAUUGAUAACAAGUUGCAAUCUAAAGUAGGUAUAUAAAGUAUUCCCUUUAAGGUUAACUCAUUGAUAUGGAGAUAUCACAUAUUUCAUACGCUAUUGAGUGAGACCCAUCCGCUAGUUUUACGGUGAGGUUCUCAUUACAUAAAUUAUAUUCUUGGAACAAUGUUUUGAUUUUCAACAUGUGGUCGAGUGCCAAUGAGUUAAUGAUCCAAGUAUUUUUUACUUUCUUAAAUGAUAUUAAGAGCGCUAAAAGGAAUUAUCUUUUUGGAUUAUUAUCCCAACUAUCUUAUGUUGUUAUUGAUAGAGUUUUAAUAUAGGAACAUUUUUGAAGGAUUUUUAUAUGCUUUUUGCUAAAUGGGUAUGAUUCUUUAGUGGAGACAACUUCAUUAAUAAAAGCACGAUUUCCCUUUAUUUGUCUGUGAUUGAUUUUAUUAUCUUCAAAUUAGCUGGUUUUUCAUGAAUUUUCUAACAAUUGUUUCGAGUAUGACUUGGUUUUCUGCAAUGAUCACUCCAAUGUGUUCCCUUUCUUUACCGAUUGUUAGAGUUGGGUUGAGUGCCCCUGGCAACAAGGUAGUGUUCUGUACUGGAAUGAGAUAAGCUCUAAAAACUUUACUCUCAGAUAUAAAUGUACUUAUUGCAUUUAGAAAAAGGAUGAGAGAAUGCAGACAGCAUCCGCUCCACUCAAUCUCAAACUUUGUAACAUUUGAAAAUGGUUUUUGUUUCAUAAAAACUUUCUGGUGAAUCUAAAAUAUUAUCCAUUCCUAAUAUACUGAGGUUCUAACCAUUAAGAAACAGUAAAAUGCUAAAAAAGUUGAAAUGCAGGCUUUGGUGAAUAAUGAAAUGUGGGAGGCGGCAAACCAAAGGGAAAAAACUAGUAGAGUGCAAAUGGAUAUUUAUGAUACAGUAUAAGCUUGAUAGAUCUAGAGAGAUACAAGGCAAGAUUGACGACCAAAGGAUAUAUACCAAAACUUAUGAGAUUGAUGCAUCGGAGAUAUUCGGACCACUAGCAAAAAUGAAUAGGAUACAUGUCCUAUCAUUCAUCACUACAAAUUUUAAUUGGCAGUUGCAACGGUUCAAUGUGAAGAAGUCCUUCAUGCAUAGAGAAUUAGAAAAAGAAAUUUAUAUGGAAAUCCCUUUGAAGUUUAUUAGAGGCAUAAAGGCAAAUCAAAUAUGCGAGCUAAAAAAGUCACUAUAUAAGCUCAAACAAUCUCCAGGGUAUGGCUUGGAAGAUUUGAAAGAGUUAUGCUAGUUAUGGGUUACAUGCAGAGUUGGGAAAAAAAUCAUACCCUGUUUAUUAAACAUUCUAAUUUAGGAGGAGUCACGACCCUUCUUUUGUAUGCAGAUGACAUAAUAGUGACAGGUAAUGAUGCAGGAGAGAGAAUAGUGCUCAAGACUAGAUAAUUUGAAAUCACAAAAUUAGAAAAGUUGAAGUAUAAUUUGAAAUCACAAAAUUAGAAAAGUUGAAGUACUUCCUUGGGAUAGAAGUUGCUUACUCUAACUAUAAGAUAUUUAUCUCACUAUAGAAGUAUGUCAAGACCUUUUGAAGGAGACUAUCAAGCUAGCAUGUAAACCUAUUGGUAUCACAAAGUGGAAUUGACAGAAGAAGACUCGAAUAUUAACAGGAAAA
Carica papaya (papaya) is the source of this 4753-nucleotide non-coding RNA. Lineage: Eukaryota; Viridiplantae; Streptophyta; Magnoliopsida; Brassicales; Caricaceae. The record is from RefSeq and is a predicted model, not a curated record.